RNAcentral lists this ribosomal RNA (402 nucleotides) under uncultured prokaryote. Its description in RNAcentral is "bacterial SSU rRNA". It matches the Rfam family "Bacterial small subunit ribosomal RNA", at positions 355 to 774 of the family's 1533-position model. The record is from RNAcentral.
UGGGGAAUAUUGCACAAUGGGGGAAACCCUGAUGCAGCAACGCCGCGUGAGUGAUGAAGGUCUUCGGAUUGUAAAGCUCUGUCUUUGGGGACGAUAAUGACGGUACCCAAGGAGGAAGCCACGGCUAACUACGUGCCAGCAGCCGCGGUAAUACGUAGGUGGCAAGCGUUGUCCGGAUUUACUGGGCGUAAAGGGAGCGUAGGCGGACUUUUAAGUGGGAUGUGAAAUACCCGGGCUUAACCUGGGUGCUGCAUUCCAAACUGGAAGUCUAGAGUGCAGGAGGGGAAAGUGGAAUUCCUAGUGUAGCGGUGAAAUGCGUAGAGAUUAGGAAGAACACCAGUGGCGAAGGCGACUUUCUGGACUGUAACUGACGCUGAGGCUCGAAAGCGUGGGGAGCAAACA